Molecule: long non-coding RNA, 1169 nt
Filed under: Homo sapiens (human)
Lineage: Eukaryota; Metazoa; Chordata; Mammalia; Primates; Hominidae
Description: HSALNT0166861
Source: RNAcentral
CAACGUUACUUUAAGGAACAGAAUGCCUGUACACAGGGCUACAGAAGGCUUUCAAGAAGAAUCAUGUCCUGAACGAACAUGGCUCAGGUAUUUAAACUGAAUUCUUAUCUAGUAUUCUUAUGAUACAAAGAGAAAGAUAAUUGUUAAAGAUGGGUAAAAGCUAACAAUAGGCAAUGGCAUUUUUUUUUUACCAUCAAAUACUUAUUAAGUGCACAUAUUGUAUUGACAUCACUGCUGGGGUAGUAGAAAUUAUAAAGUAGGGGUCAGGCGCGGUGGCUCACGCCUGUAAUCCCAGCACUUUGGGAGGCUGAGGUGGGCAGAUCAGGAGGUCAGGAGAUCGAGACCAUCCUGGCUAACACGGUGAAACCCCAUUUCUACUAAAAAUACAAAAAAUUAGCCAGGCAUGGUGGCACGCACCUGUAGUCCCAGCUACUCGGGAGGCUGAGGCAGGAGAAUCGCUUGAACCUGGGAGGCAGAAGUUGCAGUAAGCCGAGAGAGUAAAAAUGAAGCUUCCCCUUAAGAUGUCUCUACCUAAUUGGAAAGAUUGUUUUAAUGUUGUUUUAAGGGAAUAUAUGUCUCUAACUACCAAAUAAAGAGAAAAGCAGUAAAUGAUAGAAACCAGAGGAGAAAAAUAUCACUAAGGGCUUGGAAUGGGUGAGGAAAAUGUCAUAAAGUGGGUGGAACUGAGGCUAGGCCUUUAGAAACAGAUUUAGAAGUUCAGACACAGAACUGAGGGGAGAUAUUACAAGUGGAAAGAAUAGACUCAACAUGUGAAGACGCAAAAAGUCAGAGUGUUAUUUUGGAGACUUACAGAAACUGGUUGUCUUAGUUCAUGCUGCUAUAACAAAGUACCACAGACUGGGUGGCUUAAAAACAACAAAAAUUUCUCACAAUUCUAAUAGCUAGAAGUCCAAGAUCAGGGUGCCAGCAUGGCCUGGUUCCGGAGCAGGCCCUCUUCCAGGUUGCAGUAGGUUGAUUUCCCAUUGUAUUCUCAUACAGCAGAAACAGAGCAAGCUAGCUCCCUGGCUUCUUCUUGGUUUGUUUGUUUGAUUUUUGAGACAGAGUUUUCACUCUUGCUGCCCAGACUGCAGUGCAAUGGUACAGUCCUAGCUCACUGCAACCUCCACCUCCGGGUUCAAGUGAUUCUCCUGCCUCAGCUUCCCAAGCAG